UACAGAGGUGGCAAGCGUUGUUCGGAAUUACUGGGCGUAAAGGGCGCGUAGGCGGCCAUCUAAGUCAGACGUGAAAUCCCCCGGCUUAACCUGGGAACUGCGUCUGAUACUGGAAGGCUUGAGUAUGGGAGAGGGAUGUAGAAUUCCAGGUGUAGCGGUGAAAUGCGUAGAUAUCUGGAGGAAUACCGGUGGCGAAGGCGGCAUCCUGGACCAUUACUGACACUGAUGAGCGAAAGCCAGGGGAGCAAACGGG
RNAcentral lists this ribosomal RNA (253 nucleotides) under uncultured bacterium. RNAcentral describes it as "partial 16S ribosomal RNA". It matches the Rfam family "Bacterial small subunit ribosomal RNA", at positions 524 to 776 of the family's 1533-position model. The record is from RNAcentral.